Long non-coding RNA from Acanthopagrus latus (yellowfin seabream), 679 nucleotides. RefSeq lists it as uncharacterized. NCBI's taxonomy places the organism in Eukaryota, Metazoa, Chordata, Actinopteri, Spariformes, Sparidae. The transcript is spliced from 2 exons. The record is from RefSeq and is a predicted model, not a curated record.
CUCCCACAACAACCCACAUCAAUAAUAUUCCAGCUCCUGACUGACAGGAUGAAGGUGGAUGCACCUUGUGGAGAUACAUGUUGUGUUUUCAUGCUGUUUCCUUCAGCUCGUACUCUUGUCCUACACUGCUGGGUAACAGUGCUGGCAGUGAAUCUGGACAGACAUUGUUAAAGCAGUGAUGUAAUGUUAUAAAAGGCAGAAAUCUCAGCACAUUAAGUGCUUUUUGAGCCACUGGUAUUAAUGAACAUCCCUGCUAAUCCCCAUUCAUCACUGUGGCCAUCUUGUUCUAUGAGGGUAUAAAUCAUAACUGUUUCCACGUUAAACGGAAAUACCCGGUCUCUCCUUCCAAGUGUUGUAGGUUAGACGUCGAGCCGAGGUGAACAGGUGGCACCCUCAUUCCUCCACCCUGCUACCCUAUUCCACAGCCCCACCGCUCCUGCUGGGAGCUGCAUAGCUGACACCUUUGCUUUCUGAGUUCCUGCUUCGCAGCCAGGACAGAGUUGCUUUGUGUCCCAGCAGGGAGGCAACUUACCACGAAAGCCAGGGUGCCGUGCAGCAUGCCGACAGAAAAUUUAAAAGACUUUAACUGGAGGCUUUCUGACGCUGAGCGACGGUGACGAUAAACGCGUGCCUGCUGACAUUCGUACCAAAGCCACUGAUAUUAAACUUGAGAAAUGAC